ACGGCCCAGACUCCUACGGGAGGCAGCAGUGGGGAAUAUUGGGCAAUGGGCGCAAGCCUGACCCAGCAACGCCGCGUGAAGGAAGAAGGCUUUCGGGUUGUAAACUUCUUUUGUCGGGGACGAGUAGAAGACGGUACCUGGCGAAUAAGCCACGGCUAACUACGUGCCAGCAGCCGCGGUAAUACGUAGGUGGCAAGCGUUGUCCGGAUUUACUGGGUGUAAAGGGCGCGUAGGCGGACUGUCAAGUCAGUCGUGAAAUACCGGGGCUUAACCCCGGGGCUGCGAUUGAAACUGACAGCCUUGAGUAUCGGAGAGGAAAGCGGAAUUCCUAGUGUAGCGGUGAAAUGCGUAGAUAUUAGGAGGAACACCAGUGGCGAAGGCGGCUUUCUGGACGACAACUGACGCUGAGGCGCGAAAGUGUGGGGAGCAAACAGGAUUAGAUACCCUGGUAGUCCACACCGUAAACGAUGGAUACUAGGUGUAGGAGGUAUCGACCCCUUCUGUGCCGCAGUUAACACAAUAAGUAUCCCACCUGGGGAGUACGACCGCAAGGUUGAAACUCAAAGGAAUUGACGGGGGCCCGCACAAGCAGUGGAGUAUGUGGUUUAAUUCGAAGCAACGCGAAGAACCUUACCAGGUCUUGACAUCCGAUGCAUAGCACAGAGAUGUGUGAAAUCCUUCGGGACAUCGAGACAGGUGGUGCAUGGUUGUCGUCAGCUCGUGUCGUGAGAUGUUGGGUUAAGUCCCGCAACGAGCGCAACCCUUACUGUCAGUUACUACGCAAGAGGACUCUGGCAGGACUGCCGUUGACAAAACGGAGGAAGGUGGGGAUGACGUCAAAUCAUCAUGCCCUUUAUGACUUGGGCUACACACGUACUACAAUGGCGUUAAACAAAGAGAAGCAAGACCGCGAGGUGGAGCAAAACUCAGAAACAACGUCCCAGUUCGGACUGCAGGCUGCAACUCGCCUGCACGAAGUCGGAAUUGCUAGUAAUCGUGGAUCAGCAUGCCACGGUGAAUACGUUCCCGGGCCUUGUACACACCGCCCGUCACACCAUGAGAGCCGGGGGGACCCGAAGUCGGUAGUCUAACCGCAAGGAGGACGCCGCCGAAGGUAAAACUGGUGAUUGGGGUGAAGUCGUAACAAGGUAGCCGUAGGAGAACCUGCGGCUG
Molecule: ribosomal RNA, 1173 nt
Filed under: Lactobacillus sp. N15.MGS-260
Lineage: Bacteria; Bacillati; Bacillota; Bacilli; Lactobacillales; Lactobacillaceae
Description: bacterial SSU rRNA
Rfam family: Bacterial small subunit ribosomal RNA
Source: RNAcentral